AGUGAACUUCGUUUGAAGUGAAAAUCCUUUUAUCUCGUUUUUUAACGAGAUAAAAGAUUGUAACGAAUAGCCGGAAUAGCU
RNAcentral lists this small RNA (81 nucleotides) under Flavobacterium sinopsychrotolerans. RNAcentral describes it as "Flavo-1 RNA". It matches the Rfam family "Flavo-1 RNA". Lineage: Bacteria; Pseudomonadati; Bacteroidota; Flavobacteriia; Flavobacteriales; Flavobacteriaceae. The record is from RNAcentral.